This 385-nucleotide ribosomal RNA is filed under the name Rhipicephalus annulatus. RNAcentral's name for it is "partial 12S ribosomal RNA". Lineage: Eukaryota; Metazoa; Arthropoda; Arachnida; Ixodida; Ixodidae. The record is from RNAcentral.
AAACUAGGAUUAGAUACCCUAUUAUUUUAGAGCUUUACAUUGUAAGUAAAUAAUAAUUACGAAAGCAAAAAAUUAUGGCGGUAUUUUAAGCUUUUCAGAGGAAUUUGCUCUUUAAUGGAUAAAACACCUAAAUCUUACUUAAAUUUGUUAGGCCAAUUUGUAUACCACUAUUAAAUUAAUUAAUAAUUUUAAUUUAUAAAAUUUAUAUAAAUUUAAAAAAAAUUAAGUCAAGGUGCAGUAAAAAUUUAAGAAUGAAGUGAAUUACAAUUCUCUUAAGAGAUUAUUUAAAUUAAAAUUUUAAUUUAGGAUUUGAAAGUAAAAUUAAAAUAGAAUGUUAAUUUGAAUAAAGCUCUAAAAUAUGUACACAUCGCCCGUCGCUCUCAUU